Molecule: unclassified non-coding RNA, 258 nt
Filed under: plant metagenome
Description: partial contains small subunit ribosomal RNA and internal transcribed spacer 1
Rfam family: Eukaryotic small subunit ribosomal RNA (bases 1-47)
Source: RNAcentral
AAAGCCGUAACAAGGUUUCCGUAGGUGAACCUGCGGAAGGAUCAUUAAUGAGUAAGGGUCUUCGGGCCCGACCUCCAACCCUUUGUAGUUGAAAAAGCCCUUGUUGCUUUGGCGGGGCCGUCCCGGAACUCCCAUCUCUUCUGAUGGGGGGGAAAGGGCCGCCGGUCCUCGGACCGUCGAGCUCCCGCCAGAGUCAAAUCCAAAGCUCUUGUUUUAACCAUAUCGUCCGAGUAAAGUUGAUAAAAUUCAAUUAAAAAC